GAUGAAGAACGCAGCGAAAUGCGAUAAGUAGUGUGAAUUGCAGAAUUCAGUGAAUCAUCGAAUCUUUGAACGCACAUUGCGCCUCCUGGCAUUCCGGGAGGCAUGCCUGUUCGAGCGUCAUUAUAACCACUCAAGCUCUCGCUUGGUAUUGGGGUUCGCGGUUCCGCGGCCCCUAAAAUCAGUGGCGGUGCCUGUCGGCUCUACGCGUAGUAAUACUCCUCGCGAUUGAGUCCGGUAGGUCUACUUGCCAGCAACCCCCAAUUUUUACAGGUUGACCUCGGAUCAGGUAGGGAUACCCGCUGAACUUAAGCAUAUCAAUAAGCGGAGGA
RNAcentral lists this unclassified non-coding RNA (329 nucleotides) under soil metagenome. RNAcentral's name for it is "partial contains 5.8S ribosomal RNA, internal transcribed spacer 2, and large subunit ribosomal RNA". The stretch from base 1 to 120 matches the Rfam family "5.8S ribosomal RNA", at positions 35 to 154 of the family's 154-position model. The record is from RNAcentral.